UGACAUGUAAUCAAUCAAUGGCUGCUGAGUUGUUCUGAGGUCAGAAGGAUAAGCGAGUAUAAAAGGGCCGAUGUCUGAGGGACAGCAAGCAAUUCUCGAAGACGUCUCCUUGCGGCUUUGGAAAAUCAGCGCUCUUCCUAUUCAGAAUGAAGGCUGUUGUCCUCCUGCUGGUGUGCGCCAUCGUGGCCAUGAGUUCUGCCAGCUUCCUCUAUAAUCCACUCCUGUACAAGUUCGGAGGUUUGGGAUACGGAGGUCUUGGGUUUGGUGGACUGGGCUUUGGUGGUCUGGGAUUCGGAGGUUUGGGAUUUGGAGGCCUUGGACUUGGCUUGGGAAGAUUUGGUCUCCUGGGUGGUCUGUACGGAGGUUUCCCGUACAAGUACGGUCUAUACUACUGAAUGGCUGUAAAGCAACAGGUGUGACUAUUGUAUCUUCGUGAUUGUAAACAUCGGUCAGUUUUCGAUGGUGAAAAACUAAGUAAAGUCGAAAUUGCAAAAUAA
This 497-nucleotide unclassified non-coding RNA is filed under the name Pomacea canaliculata. Its description in RNAcentral is "chorion class B protein L11-like, transcript variant X2". Lineage: Eukaryota; Metazoa; Mollusca; Gastropoda; Architaenioglossa; Ampullariidae. The record is from RNAcentral.